UACGGGGGGGGCAAGCGUUGUUCGGAAUUACUGGGCGUAAAGGGCUCGUAGGUGGCCAACUAAGUCAGACGUGAAAUCCCUCGGCUUAACCGGGGAACUGCGUCUGAUACUGGAUGGCUUGAGUUUGGGAGAGGGAGGCGGAAUUCCAGGUGUAGCGGUGAAAUGCGUAGAUAUCUGGAGGAACACCGGUGGCGAAGGCAGCUCGCUGGAACGGUACUGACGCUGAGGCACGAAAGCGUGGGGAGCGAACAGG
This 253-nucleotide ribosomal RNA is filed under the name uncultured bacterium. RNAcentral's name for it is "partial 16S ribosomal RNA". It matches the Rfam family "Bacterial small subunit ribosomal RNA", at positions 524 to 776 of the family's 1533-position model. The record is from RNAcentral.